RNAcentral lists this ribosomal RNA (926 nucleotides) under Xenocamarosporium acaciae. RNAcentral describes it as "SSU rRNA". It matches the Rfam family "Eukaryotic small subunit ribosomal RNA", at positions 121 to 1056 of the family's 1831-position model. The record is from RNAcentral. Lineage: Eukaryota; Fungi; Ascomycota; Dothideomycetes; Pleosporales; Didymosphaeriaceae.
UUGAUAGUACCUUACUACUUGGAUAACCGUGGUAAUUCUAGAGCUAAUACAUGCUAAAAACCCCAACUUCGGGAGGGGUGUAUUUAUUAGAUAAAAAACCAAUGCCCUUCGGGGCUCCUUGGUGAUUCAUGAUAACUUCUCAGAUCGCAUGGCCUUGUGCUGGCGACGGUUCAUUCAAAUUUCUGCCCUAUCAACUUUCGAUGGUAAGGUAUUGGCUUACCAUGGUUUCAACGGGUAACGGGGAAUUAGGGUUCGAUUCCGGAGAGGGAGCCUGAGAAACGGCUACCACAUCCAAGGAAGGCAGCAGGCGCGCAAAUUACCCAAUUCCGAUACGGAGAGGUAGUGACAAUAAAUACUGAUACAGGGCUCUUUUGGGUCUUGUAAUUGGAAUGAGUACAAUUUAAACCUCUUAACGAGGAACAAUUGGAGGGCAAGUCUGGUGCCAGCAGCCGCGGUAAUUCCAGCUCCAAUAGCGUAUAUUAAAGUUGUUGCAGUUAAAAAGCUCGUAGUUGAACCUUUGGCCUGGCUGGCAGGUCCGCCUCACCGCGUGCACUUGUCCGGCCGGGCCUUUUCUUCUGGAGAACCGCAUGCCCUUCACUGGGUGUGUUGGGGACCAGGACUUUUACUUUGAAAAAAUUAGAGUGUUCAAAGCAGGCCUUUGCUCGAAUACGUUAGCAUGGAAUAAUAGAAUAGGACGUGCGGUCCUAUUUUGUUGGUUUCUAGGACCGCCGUAAUGAUUAAUAGGGACAGUCGGGGGCAUCAGUAUUCAAUUGUCAGAGGUGAAAUUCUUGGAUUUAUUGAAGACUAACUACUGCGAAAGCAUUUGCCAAGGAUGUUUUCAUUAAUCAGUGAACGAAAGUUAGGGGAUCGAAGACGAUCAGAUACCGUCGUAGUCUUAACCAUAAACUAUGCCGACUAGGGAUCGG